This 417-nucleotide RNase P RNA is filed under the name Candidatus Cloacimonadota bacterium. Its description in RNAcentral is "RNase P RNA component class A". It matches the Rfam family "Bacterial RNase P class A". From Rfam's summary of the family: Ribonuclease P (RNase P) is a ubiquitous endoribonuclease, found in archaea, bacteria and eukarya as well as chloroplasts and mitochondria. Its best characterised activity is the generation of mature 5'-ends of tRNAs by cleaving the 5'-leader elements of precursor-tRNAs. Cellular RNase Ps are ribonucleoproteins. The record is from RNAcentral. Lineage: Bacteria; Pseudomonadati; Candidatus Cloacimonadota.
GAAGAUAAUCAGACGAUCACCCUCCCGAUGAUUCGGGGGGAAGGAAAGUCCGAACACCAGGAGCGCAAUACUACGUAAUACGUAGUUCCAGUGAUGGAAAGAAAGUGCCACAGAAAAGAAACCGUCCGCCAGCUGGCGGAUAAGGGUGAAAAGGCGGUGUAAGAGACCACCAGUGCUAAUGGUGACAUCAGCAGCUCGGUAAACCUUAUUGGUGCAAGGUCAAAUAGAAGAGAAAUUCGCCUUAGGCGGAUACGAACUGCUCCAUUCGUCAUACUCUCGGGUAGACCGCAGAACUCAGUCACAGAAAAGACUGUGAAUUUUCUUCGGAAAAUACUGUGAAGUCUGAGUAAGAUAAAUGAUCGUCGUCCUGAACUUGUACUUCAGGAGACAGAAUUCGGCUUAUUAUUAUCUUCCGCA